RNAcentral lists this transfer RNA (64 nucleotides) under Taenia crassiceps. Its description in RNAcentral is "tRNA-Ala". The record is from RNAcentral. Lineage: Eukaryota; Metazoa; Platyhelminthes; Cestoda; Cyclophyllidea; Taeniidae.
AACGAGAUAGUUUAAUUAAAAAUAGCAGAUUUGCGUUCUGAAGAUGGAUUAUAUUCUUUUGUUA